This 681-nucleotide ribosomal RNA is filed under the name uncultured Bacteroidales bacterium. RNAcentral describes it as "bacterial SSU rRNA". It matches the Rfam family "Bacterial small subunit ribosomal RNA", at positions 65 to 735 of the family's 1533-position model. Lineage: Bacteria; Pseudomonadati; Bacteroidota; Bacteroidia; Bacteroidales. The record is from RNAcentral.
AGGGGCAGCAUGGUCUUAGCUUGCUAAGGCCGAUGGCGACCGGCGCACGGGUGAGUAACACGUAUCCAACCUGCCGUCUACUCUUGGACAGCCUUCUGAAAGGAAGAUUAAUACAAGAUGGCAUCAUGAGUCCGCAUGUUCACAUGAUUAAAGGUAUUCCGGUAGACGAUGGGGAUGCGUUCCAUUAGAUAGUAGGCGGGGUAACGGCCCACCUAGUCUUCGAUGGAUAGGGGUUCUGAGAGGAAGGUCCCCCACAUUGGAACUGAGACACGGUCCAAACUCCUACGGGAGGCAGCAGUGAGGAAUAUUGGUCAAUGGGCGAGAGCCUGAACCAGCCAAGUAGCGUGAAGGAUGACUGCCCUAUGGGUUGUAAACUUCUUUUAUAAAGGAAUAAAGUCGGGUAUGGAUACCCGUUUGCAUGUACUUUAUGAAUAAGGAUCGGCUAACUCCGUGCCAGCAGCCGCGGUAAUACGGAGGAUCCGAGCGUUAUCCGGAUUUAUUGGGUUUAAAGGGAGCGUAGAUGGAUGUUUAAGUCAGUUGUGAAAGUUUGCGGCUCAACCGUAAAAUUGCAGUUGAUACUGGAUAUCUUGAGUGCAGUUGAGGCAGGCGGAAUUCGUGGUGUAGCGGUGAAAUGCUUAGAUAUCACGAAGAACUCCGAUUGCGAAGGCAGCCUGCUAAGCU